Molecule: ribosomal RNA, 468 nt
Filed under: uncultured bacterium
Lineage: Bacteria
Description: partial 16S ribosomal RNA
Rfam family: Bacterial small subunit ribosomal RNA
Source: RNAcentral
GACGAACGCUGGCGGCGUGCUUAACACAUGCAAGUCGAACGGAAAGGCCCUGCUUUUGUGGGGUGCUCGAGUGGCGAACGGGUGAGUAACACGUGAGUAACCUGCCCUUGACUUUGGGAUAACUUCAGGAAACUGGGGCUAAUACCGGAUAGGAGCUCCUGCUGCAUGGUGGGGGUUGGAAAGUUUCGGCGGUUGGGGAUGGACUCGCGGCUUAUCAGCUUGUUGGUGGGGUAGUGGCUUACCAAGGCUUUGACGGGUAGCCGGCCUGAGAGGGUGACCGGCCACAUUGGGACUGAGAUACGGCCCAGCCUCCUACGGGAGGCAGCAGUGGGGAAUAUUGCACAAUGGGCGGGAGCCUGAUGCAGCAACGCCGCGUGCGGGAUGACGGCCUUCGGGUUGUAAACCGCUUUCGCCUGUGACGAAGCGUGAGUGACGGUAAUGGGUAAAGAAGCACCGGCUAACUACGUG